UUAUAUUUUUUAAUCUCUUAAAUACAAACAGGCAGACAUACAAAUCUAAUGUCAGCUAUGUUAAACAUCUGGAUUAAAACCAGACUGUCUGGUUGUCUACGUGAGCAGCAGAAUGACAGACAGCCCUGAAGGGGGACAGACAGACAGCAGGGUUUCGGAUCAAAACCCAUUUCAGGUCAAAAUUAGGUCAGGAAGGUCACAAUUCAGACUUGAGUUUUACUAAACGUGGACUUCAGUAAAACAAAAACAAACGAUUUACUGUAAGUCAACUUAUCUCAAGUCUGAAUCAGACCCAAAGUGAACCGAAAGUCAGUCUGGGAGGAAUCCUAGUCCUUGAGACCUCUGUGCACACUUAAAAGUAGACUUCUGUGUAGAUCAUAUGUUGAUGUCACUGGAAGAUGUGUGUGAACAUGUGAGUGCUGACCUCAACUCAGGAUUCAGGAUUUCAAUGAUUGUAUUGAAAUAACAAAUUAUUUUUCUAUUUAGAUUCUGACUAUUGACAAGUAGCAUUUCAAAUGGUCUGAACUGAAAACAGAGUUGACCCCAAUCCUACUAAAUCUCACCCCGGUCUAGUUGAACCCAGAGUUGAUCCCAAUCUUACUGAAUCGUAACCCAGUCCAGUUGAAACCAGAGUUGAACCCAAUCCUACUGAAUCGUAACCCAGUCCAGUUGAAACCAGAGUUGAACCCAAUCCUACUGAAUCGUAACCCCAGUCCAGUUGAAACCAGAGUUGAUCCCAAUCUUACUGAAUCGUAACCCAGUCCAGUUGAAACCAGAGUUGAUCCCAAUCCUACUGAAUCGUAACCCCAGUCCAGUUGAAACCAGAGUUGAUCCCAAUCCUACUGAAUCGUAACCCAGUCCAGUUGAAACCAGAGUUGAACCCAAUCCUACUGAACCCAAUCCUACUGAAUCGUAACCCCGGUCCAGUUGAACCCAGAGUUGAUCCCAAUCCUACUGAAUCGUAACCCCGUCCAGUUGAAACCAGAGUUGAUCCCAAUCCUACUGAAUCGUAACCCAGUCCAGUUGAAACCAGAGUUGAACCCAAUCCUACUGAAUCGUAACCCCAGUCCAGUUGAAACCAGAGUUGAACCCAAUCCUACUGAAUCGUAACCCAGUCCAGUUGAAACCAGAGUUGAACCCAAUCCUACUGAAUCGUAACCCCAUCCAGUUGAAACCAGAGUUGAUCCCAAUCCUACUGAAUCGUAACCCAGUCCAGUUGAAACCAGAGUUGAACCCAAUCCUACUGAAUCGUAACCCCAGUCCAGUUGAAACCAGAGUUGAUCCCAAUCCUACUGAAUCGUAACCCAGUCCAGUUGAAACCAGAGUUGAACCCAAUCCUACUGAAUCGUAACCCCAUCCAGUUGAAACCAGAGUUGAUCCCAAUCCUACUGAAUCGUAACCCAGUCCAGUUGAAACCAGAGUUGAACCCAAUCCUACUGAAUCGUAACCCAGUCCAGUUGAAACCAGAGUUGAUCCCAAUCCUACUGAAUCGUAACCCAGUCCAGUUGAAACCAGAGUUGAACCCAAUCC
Long non-coding RNA from Oncorhynchus keta (chum salmon), 1530 nucleotides. RefSeq lists it as uncharacterized. The transcript is spliced from 4 exons. The record is from RefSeq and is a predicted model, not a curated record. Lineage: Eukaryota; Metazoa; Chordata; Actinopteri; Salmoniformes; Salmonidae.